AGAGUUUGAUCCUGGCUCAGAACGAACGCUGGCGGCAUGCCUAACACAUGCAAGUCGAACGAGACCUUCGGGUCUAGUGGCGCACGGGUGCGUAACGCGUGGGAAUCUGCCCUCUGGUACGGAAUAACUCAGAGAAACUUGAGCUAAUACCGUAUAAUGACUUCGGUCCAAAGAUUUAUCGCCUGAGGAUGAGCCCGCGUAGGAUUAGCUUGUUGGUGAGGUAAAGGCUCACCAAGGCGACGAUCCUUAGCUGGUCUGAGAGGAUGAUCAGCCACACUGGGACUGAGACACGGCCCAGACUCCUACGGGAGGCAGCAGUGGGGAAUAUUGGACAAUGGGCGCAAGCCUGAUCCAGCAAUGCCGCGUGAGUGAUGAAGGCCUUAGGGUUGUAAAGCUCUUUUACCCGGGAUGAUAAUGACAGUACCGGGAGAAUAAGCCCCGGCUAACUCCGUGCCAGCAGCCGCGGUAAUACGGAGGGGGCUAGCGUUGUUCGGAAUUACUGGGCGUAAAGCGCACGUAGGCGGCUUUGCAAGUUAGAGGUGAAAGCCCGGGGCUCAACUCCGGAAUUGCCUUUAAAACUGCAUCGCUAGAGUUGUGGAGAGGUAAGUGGAAUUCCGAGUGUAGAGGUGAAAUUCGUAGAUA
This 642-nucleotide ribosomal RNA is filed under the name uncultured Alphaproteobacteria bacterium. Its description in RNAcentral is "bacterial SSU rRNA". It matches the Rfam family "Bacterial small subunit ribosomal RNA", at positions 8 to 696 of the family's 1533-position model. The record is from RNAcentral. Lineage: Bacteria; Pseudomonadati; Pseudomonadota; Alphaproteobacteria.